UACGUAGGGGGCAAGCGUUGUCCGGAAUUAUUGGGCGUAAAGCGCGCGCAGGCGGCCUGUUAAGUCUGAUGUGAAAGCCCACGGCUCAACCGUGGAGGGCCAUUGGAAACUGGCAGGCUUGAGUGCAGGAGAGGAGAGCGGAAUUCCCGGUGUAGCGGUGAAAUGCGUAGAUAUCUGGAGGAACACCGGUGGCGAAGGCGGCAUCCUGGACCGGCAUUGACGCUGAGGCGCGAAAGCCAGGGGAGCAAACGGG
This 253-nucleotide ribosomal RNA is filed under the name uncultured bacterium. RNAcentral describes it as "partial 16S ribosomal RNA". It matches the Rfam family "Bacterial small subunit ribosomal RNA", at positions 524 to 776 of the family's 1533-position model. The record is from RNAcentral.